UACGGGGGGGGUAAGCGUUGUUCGGAAUUACUGGGCGUAAAGGGCUCGUAGGCGGCCAACUAAGUCAGACGUGAAAUCCCUCGGCUUAACCGGGGAACUGCGUCUGAUACUGGAUGGCUAGAGGUUGGGAGAGGGAUGCGGAAUUCCAGGUGUAGCGGUGAAAUGCGCAGAUAUCAGGAAGAACACCGUGGCUAAGGCGGCUCUCUAGUACGGUACUGACGCUGAGACGCGAAAGCGUGGGAGCGAACAGG
Molecule: ribosomal RNA, 251 nt
Filed under: uncultured bacterium
Lineage: Bacteria
Description: partial 16S ribosomal RNA
Rfam family: Bacterial small subunit ribosomal RNA
Source: RNAcentral